GGAAUUGUUCACAAUGGGCGCAAGCCUGAUGACGCAACGCCGCGUGGAGGAUGAAGGUCUUCGGAUUGUAAACUCCUGUUGCUCGGGAAGAAUAGCUCCGACCUAAUACGUCGGAGUGUGACGGUACCGGGUGAGGACGCCCCGGCUAACUCUGUGCCAGCAGCCGCGGUAAUACAGAGGGGGCAAGCGUUGUUCGGAAUUACUGGGCGUAAAGGGCGCGUAGGCGGCCUGUUAAGUCGAACGUGAAAUCCCCGGGCUCAACCCGGGAACUGCGUCCGAUACUGGCAGGCUUGAAUCCGGGAGAGGGAUGUGGAAUUCCAGGUGUAGCGGUGAAAUGCGUAGAUAUCUGGAGGAACACCGGUGGCGAAGGCGGCAUCCUGGACCGGCAUUGACGCUGAGGCGCGAAAGCCAGGGGAGCAAA
Molecule: ribosomal RNA, 421 nt
Filed under: uncultured bacterium
Lineage: Bacteria
Description: bacterial SSU rRNA
Rfam family: Bacterial small subunit ribosomal RNA
Source: RNAcentral